GAGCUCCCGUGUACGUCAUGUCGUGACUGUCGCCGCUUGUGACUGGGCGGAGAUGCGCUCGGUGGGGCAGCGCGGAGCUGCGGCUCGGCUCGUAACCGCACCGGGGCCUCUCGGCGUGCGUGACGCGUCGCACCCGCUUUUUGAAUGUUUCCAAGCUUUUACUUGGAUCAGGAUAACGUGGAAGUAUUUAGGGAUGUUCUGCCUUACGCUCUCGUUAACGUGUGUAGCGUUUCCUUAUAAGCAUCUCACUGGUUUAGUCAGUAACAGAAAAUUAAAUUUUAUAAGAAGAUGUCAUCUAGAAGACCUACUUUACGUGGAAAUCCGGACAAUUCCCCCGUACUGUUCAGAGUUUUUAGGCUAUAAAAUGCCAUCAGGGUGUAGACCCUCUUUUUCAGCACAGCCAACUAACAUUUCUUCUGACUUCUGCAAAAAUUGCAGAAGAAAGACUUGAGAGGAAGUACUGAGAAAGCUUUGAGCCAUGCAAGAUAAUAAAGGUAACACGGUAGACAGAAUUAAAAUUUUUGACAUGGAAUCAGCAGUUUAUAGGUUCAAGAAGCAAAGCAUGAAAAGAUGCAGAAUCAGAGAAAGGCGAGCAGAAAGAGCAACACUAAGGACUUUCAUCCUGAUGCAAGAAACAAUAGAGCCUGAUGGUCGACCACUUGUUUCAACCAGGACUCAUAAGACUCUUAAGGCAUGGUAAUAGUUGCCUGAAUGAAGUGACUUGGAGCAGGAAUGAGUGAAGGACAGAGAGAAGACUGAACUUCUUGCUGUACUCUUUUUUUUUUUUUUUUUUUUUAAGUGUUUUCUGCCCUUGCAUCUGUAUAGUUCUUAUUAUUGUGCACAUGCAAUGCUUGUGUUUUCAGAUUUUGGUCUUCUACUAGUAGCACUACUUAGUAAUAAUAAUUAUGGUGUGAUAUUUAUUAAAGCUGCAGUAUGCUUGAACACUG
Long non-coding RNA from Myiozetetes cayanensis, 947 nucleotides. RefSeq lists it as uncharacterized. The transcript is spliced from 2 exons. NCBI's taxonomy places the organism in Eukaryota, Metazoa, Chordata, Aves, Passeriformes, Tyrannidae. The record is from RefSeq and is a predicted model, not a curated record.